RNAcentral lists this ribosomal RNA (497 nucleotides) under uncultured bacterium. RNAcentral's name for it is "partial 16S ribosomal RNA". It matches the Rfam family "Bacterial small subunit ribosomal RNA", at positions 28 to 507 of the family's 1533-position model. The record is from RNAcentral.
GAUGAACGCUGGCGGCGUGCCUAAUACAUGCGAGUCGAGCGAACAGACGAGGAGCUUGCUCCUCUGACGUUAGCGGCGGACGGGUGAGUAACACGUGGAUAACCUACCUAUAAGACUGGGAUAACUUCGGGAAACCGGAGCUAAAACCGGAUAAUAUAUUGAACCGCAUGGUUCAAUAGUGAAAGACGGUUUUGCUGUCACUUAUAGAUGGAUCCGCGCCGCAUUAGCUAGUUGGUAAGGUAACGGCUUACCAAGGCAACGAUGCGUAGCCGACCUGAGAGGGUGAUCGGCCACACUGGAACUGAGACACGGUCCAGACUCCUACGGGAGGCAGCAGUAGGGAAUCUUCCGCAAUGGGCGAAAGCCUGACGGAGCAACGCCGCGUGAGUGAUGAAGGUCUUCGGAUCGUAAAACUCUGUUAUUAGGGAAGAACAAAUGUGUAAGUAACUAUGCACGUCUUGACGGUACCUAAUCAGAAAGCCACGGCUAACUACGUG